GGGGGUGUAGCUCAACUGGUUAGAGCAUUAGACUCGAAGUCUAACGUUGGUGGUUCGAGUCCACCCACCCCUA
RNAcentral lists this transfer RNA (73 nucleotides) under Candidatus Harrisonbacteria bacterium CG10_big_fil_rev_8_21_14_0_10_42_17. RNAcentral describes it as "tRNA-Ser". It matches the Rfam family "tRNA". From Rfam's summary of the family: Transfer RNA (tRNA) molecules are approximately 80 nucleotides in length. Lineage: Bacteria; Candidatus Harrisoniibacteriota. The record is from RNAcentral.